RNAcentral lists this ribosomal RNA (449 nucleotides) under uncultured cyanobacterium. RNAcentral describes it as "bacterial SSU rRNA". It matches the Rfam family "Bacterial small subunit ribosomal RNA", at positions 28 to 524 of the family's 1533-position model. Lineage: Bacteria; Bacillati; Cyanobacteriota. The record is from RNAcentral.
GAUGAACGCUGGCGGUAUGCUUAACACAUGCAAGUCGAACGGUCUCUUCGGAGAUAGUGGCGGACGGGUGAGUAACGCGUAAGAAUCUACCUACAGACUCGGGACAACAGUUGGAAACGACUGCUAAUACCGGAUAUGCCGCGAGGUGAAAGAUUUAUCAUCUGUAGAUGAGCUUGCGUCCGAUUAGCUAGAUGGAGUGGUAACGGCACACCAUGGCGACGAUCGGUAACUGGUCUGAGAGGAUGAUCAGUCACACUGGGACUGAGACACGGCCCAGACUCCUACGGGAGGCAGCAGUGGGGAAUUUUCCGCAAUGGGCGAAAGCCUGACGGAGCAAUACCGCGUGAGGGACGAAGGUCUGUGGAUUGUAAACCUCUUUUGUUAGGGAAGAUAAUGACGGUACCUAACGAAUAAGCAUCGGCUAACUCCGUGCCAGCAGCCGCGGUAAU